Tachyglossus aculeatus (Australian echidna) is the source of this 284-nucleotide long non-coding RNA. RefSeq lists it as uncharacterized. Lineage: Eukaryota; Metazoa; Chordata; Mammalia; Monotremata; Tachyglossidae. The transcript has 3 exons. The record is from RefSeq and is a predicted model, not a curated record.
CUGUGGUGGACGCCUCGAGCGGAGCGGUUUAACCCAGAUUGCUCCUAUCCUCGCUCCCAACCGCGCCGUUUUCGAUCCUCAGGCGACCCAGCUGACGGACCGAUCGACUGUGGUAGACGCCUCGAGCGGAGCGGUUUAACCCAGAUUGCUCCUAUCCUCGCUCCCAACCGCGCCGUUUUCGAUCCUCAGGCGACCCAGCUGACGGACCGAUCGACUGUGGUAGACGCCUCGAGCGGAGCGGUUUAACCCAGAUUGCUCCUAUCCUCGCUCCCAACCGCGCCGUU